Long non-coding RNA from Quercus lobata, 627 nucleotides. RefSeq lists it as uncharacterized. The transcript is spliced from 3 exons. The record is from RefSeq and is a predicted model, not a curated record. NCBI's taxonomy places the organism in Eukaryota, Viridiplantae, Streptophyta, Magnoliopsida, Fagales, Fagaceae.
AGUGCUUUUCGCCCUCUCAAGCCUCACCCUUAGCAUAGUAGCACCAAAGCUGCUAGCUCACUGCGACACCGUCAGAGAGUCGGUAACUGGGAGACUUAGAGAGUUCUCACUCUUCAAUCCUUCACUAAAAGCAGAGUUUCUUCCAGACGUCAAAACAAUGUCCGUUAGGUUCCUCCUCCUCAGCCAAUUUACAAAGUUAACUUUGAUGGAGCUGUGCUUAAUGAUGACAGAAAGGCCGGUGUUGGGGUGGUGAUCCGAAAUAAUUUGGGACAGGCUAUGACUUCUAUGACAGAGAAAUGUAAUCUCCCCACAUCAGUUGAAGAAGUUGAGGCUAUGGCAGCGGUCAGGGCAGUUGGUUUUGCUCAAGAACUGGGGUUUUCAUCUAUUGUUCUUGAGGAGAUUCAAAGAUAAUUAUGAAUUCCAUAAAAAAUGAUGUACCUUCUUUUGCUUCUUAUGGUCAUUUGAUUGAGGAGACGAAACUUUUAACAGAAUCCUUUGUUGUUUUUAGUGUUUCUCAUGUUAAAAGAUAAGAGAAUUCUGUAGAUCACAAUUUUACUAGAUAUAUUAGACAUAUUAACGAUUUGUCGAUGUGGAUAAAAAGUGAUCUUUCACAUCUUAAUGUUGUAA